Molecule: ribosomal RNA, 492 nt
Filed under: uncultured bacterium
Lineage: Bacteria
Description: partial 16S ribosomal RNA
Rfam family: Bacterial small subunit ribosomal RNA
Source: RNAcentral
AGUGAACGCUGGCGGUAGGCCUAACACAUGCAAGUCGAACGGCAGCACAGUAAGAGCUUGCUCUUACGGGUGGCGAGUGGCGGACGGGUGAGGAAUACAUCGGAAUCUACUUUUUCGUGGGGGAUAACGUAGGGAAACUUACGCUAAUACCGCAUACGACCUACGGGUGAAAGCAGGGGAUCUUCGGACCUUGCGCGAUUGAAUGAGCCGAUGUCGGAUUAGCUAGUUGGCGGGGUAAAGGCCCACCAAGGCGACGAUCCGUAGCUGGUCUGAGAGGAUGAACAGCCACACUGGAACUGAGACACGGUCCAGACUCCUACGGGAGGCAGCAGUGGGGAAUAUUGGACAAUGGGCGCAAGCCUGAUCCAGCCAUACCGCGUGGGUGAAGAAGGCCUUCGGGUUGUAAAGCCCUUUUGUUGGGAAAGAAAAGCAGCAGGUUAAUACCCCGCUGUUCUGACGGUACCCAAAGAAUAAGCACCGGCUAACUUCGCG